AUUAUAGAAAAAGCAGAAAAAAUUACACCUCCAAUAAUUAAAGAAGAAAACAGAAAAUUCAAGCAUUACCUCCCCUAGCAUGCAAACACCUUCAAAUAUGGAUGGUGGGUUUGCAUCUCACUCACUGACUUAUCAGCGAGGGAGACCACAGUAUUUUAGUGCCCACCGGAACUGGGCAUAAUGGGAAAGAACAUAAAAAGGAAUAGAUUAAAGCUGGGAAGCGAGAGAUAAUCUCAAGACACAGCAUUAGAUUAAUUAAAGAAAGGCCCUUCUUUAAUUAAAGAUUUGGAUGUAAAGCAUGUAGCAGACAGCUCUGUUCAAUUUCCACAUCAUUCGCAAUGGACAAAUGUAAACAUCAAAUCUUUGAGAACAAACUAUGCCUAAAUUCCUAUACCGUCUCUUUUCUUCUCUUUUUUCAUCAGCUUCUUUCUUUGCACCAAUUAUACUAAAAAAAAAUUAACGAGCAAA
This is a long non-coding RNA of Populus euphratica (Euphrates poplar), 468 nucleotides long. RefSeq lists it as uncharacterized. Lineage: Eukaryota; Viridiplantae; Streptophyta; Magnoliopsida; Malpighiales; Salicaceae. The transcript is spliced from 2 exons. The record is from RefSeq and is a predicted model, not a curated record.